GUCGCCCGGACGGGCCGGUUGGCCGGACGUUAUGGCGGUCCCGUGGCCGCGCUUGGCCGCAGGUUCGAGUCCUGGGGGUGGCACC
RNAcentral lists this transfer RNA (85 nucleotides) under Streptomyces flaveus. Its description in RNAcentral is "tRNA-His". Lineage: Bacteria; Bacillati; Actinomycetota; Actinomycetes; Kitasatosporales; Streptomycetaceae. The record is from RNAcentral.